UAAAACAGACACCUCUUGCGCAUUUUAGAACUCACCACCAUCAUAUUACGGAAGCCCGCUUAUCAUAUACGCUACCGACGCAUCUUAGAGUACGCCGCCAGAAUGCUGAUCAUUGGUGACGAUGUCCGACCAUCGGUGACGAUGCCCGAUGAAAACCCAAAACCCUGCUUAAGUUUUCCAGAAAGAACUUGUUGGCUUUUUGAAGUCACAUACAUUGGGAGAUGGGGGUCAAUUCGGUGAGGGUAUCACAAGGGUUGUUGAGGAGUUGGUUUUCAACAGCCUCGACGCUGCUGCCACCAAGAGGUGGGCUGCUGAGAAUAUGGCAAGUCGUGCUUAUAUGCAGAUUUAAUCGCUUAGACUAGUUGCACAAAAGGCAGUGAACGGUAUCUGUUGCUAUAGGCAUUGAGACCUGCUAUGUGAAGGUGGAUGACAAUGUAUCUCGUGUUUCAUGAGAUGGGUGCUGAUGGGAGAAAAAUAUGCGACAUCAAAAUACAGCCAUUCAGAUGAUAUGCAUGCUUUCCCAGCAAGCUUUGGUUUCAAAGGAGAGGCAGGCUCUGUUUCUUUAUUGGAAAUUGUUACUAAAACUCACGGCAGGCCAAACGGAUAUCGUAAGGUUUUG
Molecule: long non-coding RNA, 619 nt
Organism: Solanum dulcamara
Lineage: Eukaryota; Viridiplantae; Streptophyta; Magnoliopsida; Solanales; Solanaceae
Exons: 6
Source: RefSeq, a predicted model, not a curated record